This 254-nucleotide ribosomal RNA is filed under the name uncultured bacterium. Its description in RNAcentral is "partial 16S ribosomal RNA". It matches the Rfam family "Bacterial small subunit ribosomal RNA", at positions 524 to 776 of the family's 1533-position model. The record is from RNAcentral.
UACGUAGGGGGCAAGCGUUGUCCGGAAUCAUUGGGCGUAAAGAGCGUGUAGGCGGCCCGAUAAGUCCGCCGUGAAAGUCCAGGGCUCAACCCUGGAAUGCCGGUGGAAACUGUCGGGCUGGAGUCCGGAAGAGGCGAGUGGAAUUCCUGGUGUAGCGGUGAAAUGCGCAGAUAUCAGGAGGAACACCAAUGGCGAAGGCAGCUCGCUGGGACGGUACUGACGCUGGAGACGCGAAAGCGUGGGGAGCAAACAGG